CGGGGGCUGCAGUGGGGAAUAUUGCACAAUGGGGGAAACCCUGAUGCAGCGACGCCGCGUGAGUGAGGAAGUAUUUCGGUAUGUAAAGCUCUAUCAGCAGGGAAGAAAAUGACGGUACCUGACUAAGAAGCCCCGGCUAACUACGUGCCAGCAGCCGCGGUAAUACGUAGGGGGCAAGCGUUAUCCGGAUUUACUGGGUGUAAAGGGAGCGUAGACGGCUAAUCAAGUCAGAAGUGAAAACCCAGGGCUCAACUUUGGGACUGCUUUUGAAACUGAGUAGCUAGAGUGCAGGAGAGGUAAGCGGAAUUCCUAGUGUAGCGGUGAAAUGCGUAGAUAUUAGGAGGAACACCAGUGGCGAAGGCGGCUUACUGGACUGUAACUGACGUUGAGGCUCGAAAGCGUGGGGAGCAAACAGGAUUAGAUACCCUAGUAGUC
This 435-nucleotide ribosomal RNA is filed under the name uncultured bacterium. Its description in RNAcentral is "partial 16S ribosomal RNA". It matches the Rfam family "Bacterial small subunit ribosomal RNA", at positions 343 to 795 of the family's 1533-position model. The record is from RNAcentral.